RNAcentral lists this unclassified non-coding RNA (390 nucleotides) under Hevea brasiliensis (rubber tree). The record is from RNAcentral. Lineage: Eukaryota; Viridiplantae; Streptophyta; Magnoliopsida; Malpighiales; Euphorbiaceae.
GGGAAAACAUAAUAAGAAUUAAAAAAGGAAAACAAAAAGAUAUUUCAUGUCCUCAAAGAGUUGUGGUAGAAUAGAAAAUAGGAAAAAGAAGAGUUCUUCAGAAUGGAUGGGAUGGGAGGGUGAAAUAACUUUUCCAAAAUCUUUAACAAUCAUAACAGGGGAGAUUCAGAGUAGGGAGGGGCCAGGGCAGAGUAAACAAAACUUCAGAUCUACAUGUAUCCUCCUUGCUGCUGCUGCUGCUGCUGCGGCGGUGGCUGCUGAUAAUUUCCAUAGCCACCAUAGCCACUGUAGAACAUAUUAGGAUCCUGCGGAGCUGGAGCAUAACUAUAGUUUUCGUAUCCUUGCCCAUACCCAUAAUAGCCACCUCCAUUCCAUUGGUUAGGAUCCGCC